GAUGAACGCUGGCGGCGUGCCUAAUACAUGCAAGUCGAGCGAACAGAUAAGGAGCUUGCUCCUUUGACGUUAGCGGCGGACGGGUGAGUAACACGUGGAUAACCUACCUAUAAGACUGGGAUAACUUCGGGAAACCGGAGCUAAUACCGGAUAAGAUUUUGAACCGCAUGGUUCAAUAGUGAAAGACGGCCUUGCUGUCACUUAUAGAUGGAUCCGCGCCGUAUUAGCUAGUUGGUAAGGUAACGGCUUACCAAGGCAACGAUACGUAGCCGACCUGAGAGGGUGAUCGGUCACACUGGAACUGAGACACGGUCCAGACUCCUACGGGAGGCAGCAGUAGGGAAUCUGCCGCAAUGGGCGAAAGCCUGACGGAGCAACGCCGCGUGAGUGAUGAAGGUCUUCGGAUCGUAAAACUCUGUUAUCAGGGAAGAACAAACGUGUAAGUAACUGUGCACGUCUUGACGGUACCUGAUCAGAAAGCCACGGCUAACUACGUG
Molecule: ribosomal RNA, 497 nt
Filed under: uncultured bacterium
Lineage: Bacteria
Description: partial 16S ribosomal RNA
Rfam family: Bacterial small subunit ribosomal RNA
Source: RNAcentral